UACGUAGGGAGCAAGCGUUGUUCGGAUUUACUGGGCGUAAAGCGCGUGUAGGCGGGAAGCUCAGUCUGUGGUGAAAGCGCCUGGCUUAACCGGGCGAGGUCCAUGGAAACUAGCUACCUAGAGGCCGGUAGAGGGGGGUGGAAUUCCGGGUGUAGUGGUGAAAUGCGUAGAGAUCCGGAGGAACACCAGUGGCGAAGGCGGCCCCCUGGGCCGCGCCUGACGCUGAGACGCGAAAGCGCGGGGAGCGAACGGG
RNAcentral lists this ribosomal RNA (253 nucleotides) under uncultured bacterium. RNAcentral describes it as "partial 16S ribosomal RNA". It matches the Rfam family "Bacterial small subunit ribosomal RNA", at positions 524 to 776 of the family's 1533-position model. The record is from RNAcentral.